UGAACGCUGGCGGUAGGCCUAACACAUGCAAGUCGAACGGCAGCACAGUAAGAGCUUGCUCUUACGGGUGGCGAGUGGCGGACGGGUGAGGAAUACAUCGGAAUCUACUUUUUCGUGGGGGAUAACGUAGGGAAACUUACGCUAAUACCGCAUACGACCUACGGGUGAAAGCAGGGGAUCUUCGGACCUUGCGCGAUUGAAUGAGCCGAUGUCGGAUUAGCUAGUUGGCGGGGUAAAGGCCCACCAAGGCGACGAUCCGUAGCUGGUCUGAGAGGAUGAUCAGCCACACUGGAACUGAGACACGGUCCAGACUCCUACGGGAGGCAGCAGUGGGGAAUAUUGGACAAUGGGCGCAAGCCUGAUCCAGCCAUACCGCGUGGGUGAAGAAGGCCUUCGGGUUGUAAAGCCUUUUGUUGGGAAAGAAAAGCAGCAGGUUAAUACCCCGCUGUUCUGACGGUACCCAAAGAAUAAGCACCGGCUAACUUCGUG
This 489-nucleotide ribosomal RNA is filed under the name uncultured bacterium. Its description in RNAcentral is "partial 16S ribosomal RNA". It matches the Rfam family "Bacterial small subunit ribosomal RNA", at positions 30 to 507 of the family's 1533-position model. The record is from RNAcentral.